This 400-nucleotide transfer-messenger RNA is filed under the name Tannerellaceae bacterium. It matches the Rfam family "transfer-messenger RNA". From Rfam's summary of the family: Bacterial tmRNA, also known as 10Sa RNA or SsrA, is named for its dual tRNA and mRNA-like properties. Its role is to liberate the mRNA from a stalled ribosome. Lineage: Bacteria; Pseudomonadati; Bacteroidota; Bacteroidia; Bacteroidales; Tannerellaceae. The record is from RNAcentral.
GGGGCUGACCGGUUUAGACAGCGGGUAGAAGUGGUUUGUAAGCAUGUAGUGCGUGGUUGGCUUGCACUUAAAUCCCAGACAACGAACUAUUAACUGGCGAAGAAACAUACGCUCUCGCUGCUUAAUCGAAGUACAGUAGAUUGAAGCUUAAUCCCGGCGCCAGGCGUUGGAACGAGACAUCACCCGGAUGCUGUUGCUCCGAAGCGUUCCGAUAGGGUGGUGCAGCAAUAUCGGAGAUAGUUUAAAGUAAUCCUCGGACUUUAAGUGAAAAUUUAGAGGAUAAGGUUAGAGUUGGUAGCUUCGGUCUUGCUCUUUCCCUACAAUUAAAGCGAAGAUAAACAUGUAGAAAGCAAAUUAGUUCCUCGUUUGGACGAUAGUUCGAAUCUCUCCAGCUCCACUU